CUCACAGAGGGAGUCUGCGGGCUGCACCUGGAUCUGUGUCAGCUCCCGAGUCACACCCUUGGCCUCUGAAUUUGCAUUUCUGAUAUAAAUCCUUGGUAUGAGAUGAAGUCACCAGGGAGGUGCGUGGAAUGGGAUGAGAAGAAAGGAGGACAGAACAUUGCGGAAGACUAGCAGAUGAAGCUGAACACCUAAAGGAAAUGGUGAAUGAGCAGAGAGAGGGAGUUGGAAGGAAAAGGAAUCUUGGUCAUGGAAGUGAAAUUAUCAGAGAGUUUCCCAUAGCUUUAAAAGCAGACGAGUACAGAUUUGGUUCUCUGGAAUUCGACUGCAGCCAGUUUUCAUCACUUCUCUCCCAGCACUUCCUUCUGGAUUCUCUAUUUCGCAGCUGCUAGCUUUGCUGCUUCAUUCGUGCCUCUCUGACCACCGGACGUGCCUGUUGCAGGGUGUUGGGGAAGACCAUGGCUCUGGUGCUGGGCUGCAUGAGUGUGAAUAUUGGCUCCAAAACCCAAGGAGUCUGUGAUCUCAGCAGGGUAAGCUAGACACGCCGAGAGGGUUUUCACACCUGGGCCACUUUCUCAGCCUGUCACCCUCUGCUUUGGGGUCACAAGGAAGCCCGCUCCAGGUGCCUCCUUUCCUGGCUGGCCUUCCACUGUCUCCAGGCACAGGCAGGGAAAAUAGCUUGCGGGCAGCCCCAGCGGCAGACCUGCAUUCCGGGAGAUGGAAGGGUGAGUUCCUACCCUGCAGUCCCCAACAUGGGGCAGGACCCACCGUAAACAUUUGUUGAGUGAAUAACUGGCUGAUUGAAUGAUUUUGGUGAACCUAAGGUUCUUGUCAUCUGACUUUGACAUAUAUUCAUCCUGGAAGGCUCAUCUCUUUACCCUUUGCACAAGCCUCCUUGAUUGUUAUCUACAGUUCAUCUUUCCCAGGGAGACGGUUCAAUUAAGACACCUCAAAAUGAGCCCAUGAUUCGAAGGUACAGCUGACUGCACUCUGAUUAACUUCCUAUUCAUCAGUCACGGAGAUAUAUGAUGGGAAUUACCAGGGCAGGCGGAAGGCA
This is a non-coding RNA of Microcebus murinus (gray mouse lemur), 1054 nucleotides long. Lineage: Eukaryota; Metazoa; Chordata; Mammalia; Primates; Cheirogaleidae. The record is from RefSeq and is a predicted model, not a curated record.